AGAGCGAACGCUGGCGGCAGGCCUAACACAUGCAAGUCGAGCGCCCCGCAAGGGGAGCGGCAGACGGGAGAGUAACACGUGGGAACGUACCCUUCAGUUCGGAACAACCCAGGGAAACUUGGGCUAAUACCGAAUACGUCCGUAAGGAGAAAGAUUUAUCGCUGAAGGAUCGGCCCGCGUCUGAUUAGCUUGUUGGUGAGGUAACGGCUCACCAAGGCGACGAUCAGUAGCUGGUCUGAGAGGAUGAUCAGCCUCACUGGGACUGAGACACGGCCCAGACUCCUACGGGAGGCAGCAGUGGGGAAUAUUGGACAAUGGGCGCAAGCCUGAUCCAGCCAUGCCGCGUGGUGAUGAAGGCCCUAGGGUUGUAAAGCCCUUUCGGCGGGAAGAUAAUGACGGUACCCGCAGAAGAAGCCCGGCUAACUUCGUGCCAGCAGCCGC
RNAcentral lists this ribosomal RNA (441 nucleotides) under uncultured bacterium. RNAcentral's name for it is "SSU rRNA". It matches the Rfam family "Bacterial small subunit ribosomal RNA", at positions 26 to 518 of the family's 1533-position model. The record is from RNAcentral.